AUCUAACAAUGGACUGAUCUACUUCAAGGAACAAUUCUGUUGUGACAAUUUUGAACGACAUGAAGAUGAAAAAUGCCAUGCUUGUCGUGUUGGAUUUACUUCAAAAGCAGGACUUGACUGUACUCCAUGUCCCCAAGACCAUUUUGGAUUCAGAUGCGCUGAAAUUUGCGAAUGUGACCACAAUAAAAGGUGUGACAACGUGCAUGGAUGUGUCCCUAAACAUUAUUUAGACAAUCUUUCGACUCAGAAUAGUUUCUACAGGAAGAAGCGAACACAGAGUGAUUCGAUUACCGCUGAAACAACAAAAUCCCAUUUGACUACUGAUGUUACACACACAAGAACAAGUAAUAAACUACAUAGAAGUGUAUCAACAUCACCUAAAUCCAUAGAAGACAGGGACAAUGGCUUCAUUGACCAGAAAAUACUAACUUACAUGUUCAUGGCUGUAGCUGGGGCUCUUCUGGUGAUUAUAGGACUGUGUCUGUGUCUUGUUUGCGUUUGUUGGAAGCGUCAUGUGUCAUCAAAAAAGAAGAACAUUGCUGCUGUAAGUUCUGCUGUUCCGCUUACUCAAUUUCCUAUCAUUCAGGAAAAUGUUUCAGUUUCUGAAAUUACCAAUGGAUACGAAUAUGAGGUAAUUGAUGACUCAAAACUAGAACGAGAAAUACCAGUUAUUCAGGUAAUUGAUGACACAAAACUAGAACGAGAAAUACCAGUUAUUCAACACGAUUAUAUUAGCGUUGAAAGUUCAAAUAAUAAUUCAGAGGUUUGUGGAACAGACAGUGAUGGGUAUUUACACCCAUAUCAUUCUUUAGUUUCUGAAAACAGUAUUUCAUCCAAUGGUGUUGAUGAUAAAAAUAAUGAAAACAUAUAUGAAGAAAAGCCUUACUUAUCUGUAGAAAAGGAAUGCAAAAAUGAAGUGCAGCAGAAUGAAAAUUGUGAAUUGGUAAACAAUGAAACAGUCGAUAAAAAGGAAGAUGAGAUCAUGUAUGACGUACCCAAAAAAUACCAAAUCUAGUGGUGACAAAGUCAUUUUCAUGUAAAACAAUGUUACUACUUAAUCAUAAUUUACUUGACUUUUGCUUGAAUUCUAUAAAAAAAAUAUAUACCAACUAAAUUGUAUGAUUGACUCUUAAAUGAAUGAUGGA
Molecule: long non-coding RNA, 1145 nt
Organism: Mytilus californianus (California mussel)
Lineage: Eukaryota; Metazoa; Mollusca; Bivalvia; Mytilida; Mytilidae
Exons: 5
Source: RefSeq, a predicted model, not a curated record